Long non-coding RNA from Cygnus olor (mute swan), 372 nucleotides. RefSeq lists it as uncharacterized. The transcript is spliced from 3 exons. NCBI's taxonomy places the organism in Eukaryota, Metazoa, Chordata, Aves, Anseriformes, Anatidae. The record is from RefSeq and is a predicted model, not a curated record.
GGACCGGGGUCAGGGCCGCGGGGACAGCGGGGUGAGGGCCGCGGGGGCAACGGGGAAAGGGACACGGGGAUAAUGGGGUCAGGGACACGAGGGCAACGGAGUCAGGAACGUGGGGACAGUUAGGAAAGGGACACAGGGGCAACAGGAAAAGGGACACGGGGACAAUGGGGUCAGGGUCACAGGGACAGCAGGAAAAGGGACAUGGAGACAAUGGGGUGAGGGAUGUGGGGGCAACGGGGUCAGGGGCGCGGGGACAGCAGGAAAAGGGACACGGGGACAACGGGGUUAGGGACACGGGAUCAGGGACGCGGGGGCAGUGAGGAAAGGGGCACGGAGGCAACGGGGUCAGGGCCGCGGGGCCGCAAUUUUUGG